RNAcentral lists this transfer RNA (78 nucleotides) under Pseudomonadota bacterium. RNAcentral's name for it is "tRNA-Glu". It matches the Rfam family "tRNA". Rfam says of the family: Transfer RNA (tRNA) molecules are approximately 80 nucleotides in length. Their secondary structure includes four short double-helical elements and three loops (D, anti-codon, and T loops). RNAcentral also lists the same sequence under 1 other name. The record is from RNAcentral. Lineage: Bacteria; Pseudomonadati; Pseudomonadota.
GUCCCCAUCGUCUAGUCAGGUCUAGGACACCGCUCUUUCAAGGCGGCAACACGGGUUCAAAUCCCGUUGGGGACGCCA